Molecule: ribosomal RNA, 1281 nt
Filed under: Demidospermus prolixus
Lineage: Eukaryota; Metazoa; Platyhelminthes; Monogenea; Dactylogyridea; Dactylogyridae
Description: eukaryotic LSU rRNA
Rfam family: Eukaryotic large subunit ribosomal RNA
Source: RNAcentral
UCCUAGUACGGCGAGUGAACGGAGAUUAGCCCAGCACCGAAGCCUAUCUGCAUUUGUGGACAGGGCAAUGUGGUGUUUAGGCAUGCACCUGGGAAGACUGAUCUACUCGAAGUCCAACUCCGAUUGUGGCUUGGAUUUGUUCCAUAGAGGGUGAAAGGCCCGUUCGAGUAGAUCUUGUUGUUUGAGUCUUCCUUAGAUGUGUGUGCCUUGGAGUCGGAUUGCUUGAGAAUGCAGUCCAAAGUGGGUGGUAAACUCCAUCCAAGGCUAAAUACUGGCAUGAGUCCGAUAGUAGACAAGUACCGUGAGGGAAAGUUGAAAAGUACUCUGAAGAGAGAGUAAAUAGUACGUGAAACCGCCUGAAUGGAAGCUGGUGGAGUCAAGCUAUAUGCUUGGUGAAUUGGCACUGAGAUCUUUGUUGUUUGGAGGAGAGUGUUAUAGCUUGGAAAUAGCUGGGUGGCACGCCACUAUAAGCAUUCCGGGUAGUGUGCUUGUUUAUACUCUUUCUUCUGAUCUCGUGUGUUAUUUUGCCUUGCAGUCACCAUGGUCAAUGCGUUUUUGGUGUGCGAUAUUCUAACCGUGUUAUAGCGGGCUUUAGCUCGCUAGGCACGGGAAGGCAGGUGGCAGCAUGCUGGCUUCGGUUAGUUUGUUGCUUAUAGUGGCUUCGGCCUGCUGAAUGUCGUGCGUUGAUACUAUUUAAUGCAUUGUCUUUAUUGCAUGUCUAGCCUACUGGUUGGGUGUGUGAGAGCCAUGGUUUUGUAGUAGACUUUCCACCCGACCCGUCUUGAAACACGGACCAAGGAGUUUAACAUUUGCGCGAGUCAAAGGAUUCUACGAAAUCCAAUGGCGUAAUGAAAGUAAAAGAUUGCUUCUCGCAGUCAGAGGUGUGAUCCGUGCGUUUCUUUAACAGGGCGUAUGGCGUAACACCGGCCCGUUUCGUAAUGUAGUCAUCCUGGCCACGGCUGGGGUGCAUCAUUGAGGCGGAGCAAGAGCGCAAAUGUUGAGACCCGAAAGAUGGUGAACUAUGCUUGCGUAGGUUGAAGCCAGAGGAAACUCUGGUGGAGGACCGUCGCGGUUUUGACGUGCAAAUCGAUCGUCAAACGUGAGCAUAGGGGCGAAAGACUAAUCGAACCAUCUAGUAGCUGGUUCCCUCCGAAGUUUCCCUCAGGAUAGCUGGCACUCUUCGCUAACAGUUUUAUCCGGUAAAGCGAAUGAUUAGAGGUAUUGGGAGCUACACGUUCUCAACCUAUUCUCAAACUAUAAAUGGGUACGAUGCAUGGCUCG